RNAcentral lists this ribosomal RNA (468 nucleotides) under uncultured bacterium. RNAcentral describes it as "partial 16S ribosomal RNA". It matches the Rfam family "Bacterial small subunit ribosomal RNA", at positions 28 to 507 of the family's 1533-position model. The record is from RNAcentral.
GACGAACGCUGGCGGCGUGCUUAACACAUGCAAGUCGAACGGAAAGGCCCUGCUCUUGUGGGGUGCUCGAGUGGCGAACGGGUGAGUAAAACGUGUGUAACCUGCCCUUGACUUUGGGAUAACUUCAGGAAAAUGGGGCUAAUACCCGAUAGGAGCUCCUGAUGCAUGGUGUGGGUUGGAAAGUUACGGCGGUUGUGGAUGGUAUCGCGGCUUAUCCGCUUGUUGGUGAGGUAGUGGCUUACCAAGGCUUUGACGGGUAGCCGGCCUGGGAGGGUGACCGGGCACAAUGGUACUGAGAGACGGCGCAGACGGCAACGGGCGGCAGCAGUGGAGAGUAUGGCACAGUGGGGGGAAGCCAGAGACGGCGACGCCGCGUGCGGAAUGACGGCCUUCGGGUUGUGAACCGCUGUCGCCGUUGACGUGGCGGGAGUGACGGUAAUGAGUAAGAAAGCACCGGCUAACUACGUG